Molecule: ribosomal RNA, 545 nt
Filed under: Triops sp. MTD:TW 4963
Lineage: Eukaryota; Metazoa; Arthropoda; Branchiopoda; Notostraca; Triopsidae
Description: partial 12S ribosomal RNA
Source: RNAcentral
AGAGAGCGACGGGCGAUGUGUACACACCUCAGAGCUCAUUUCAAAUAAGAAUUUUAUUCUUAAUUUACUACUAAAUCCACCUUCAUAAUUCGUAUUACACUAAUUAAUCCGUAUAAUUCUAUAUUAUUGUAACCCACUACUCCCAUGAUUAUAAGCUGCACCUUGACCUGAAGUCCCAAUUAAAUAUUAAUUAGAUUAUAUUUUUUAAAAAUAAUCUGACAACGGCGGUAUACAAACUGAAAACAAAAACAUGUACAUUAAAACGUGGAUUAUCGAUCCAAGAGCAGGUUCCUCUAGUAAGAGUAAGAUACCGCCAAAUUCUUUAGGUUUUUAAAAUUCUACUACCCUGGCAAUUAAUAAAAUAAAGAAUAAUAGGGUAUCUAAUCCUAGUUUAAGUCUUAAUUUUCAAAGAUAAUUCAUUCUGUUAUAACUUUUCAUUUAAAAAAAUAAAAAUUUUACCCUUAAUUUUUUAUUUAAAAAAUUUAUUUAAAACAAAUAUUUACUUCAUUCCACCAAUCUAUUUCAUUUAAAUCCUUCGUAUAACC